Molecule: ribosomal RNA, 736 nt
Filed under: uncultured bacterium
Lineage: Bacteria
Description: bacterial SSU rRNA
Rfam family: Bacterial small subunit ribosomal RNA
Source: RNAcentral
GUCGCACGAGAAAGGGAGCAAUCCUAAGUAAAGUGGCGUACGGGUGAGUAACACGUGGAUAAUCUACCUUUUAGUGGGGAAUAACUCUGGGAAACCGGAGCUAAUACCGCAUAAGCUCGUGAGAGGAAAGCCGAAAGGCGCUGAAAGAGGAGUCCGCGGCUGAUUAGCUUGUUGGCGGGGUAACGGCCCACCAAGGCGAAGAUCGGUAGCCGGCCUGAGAGGGCACACGGCCACACUGGCACUGAAACACGGGCCAGACUCCUACGGGAGGCAGCAGUGGGGAAUCUUGCACAAUGGGGGAAACCCUGAUGCAGCGACGCCGCGUGAGCGAUGAAGCCCUUCGGGGUGUAAAGCUCUUUCGACGGGAACGAUAAUGACGGUACCCGAAGAAGAAGCUGCGGCUAACUACGUGCCAGCAGCCGCGGUAAUACGUAGGCAGCAAGCGUUGUUCGGAAUUACUGGGCGUAAAGAGUGUGUAGGCGGUGUUCUAAGUCUGUUGUGAAAUCUCCCGGCUUAACUGGGAGGGUGCGGCGGAGACUGGAAUGCUAGAGUAUGGGAGAGGUAAGCGGAAUUCCUGGUGUAGCGGUGAAAUGCGUAGAUAUCAGGAGGAACACCUGUGGUGUAGACAGCUUACUGGACCAUGACUGACGCUGAGACACGAAAGCGUGGGUAGCAAACAGGAUUAGAUACCCUGGUAGUCCACGCCCUAAACGAUGCAUACUUGGUGUGAGCCAUU